This 748-nucleotide ribosomal RNA is filed under the name uncultured bacterium. RNAcentral's name for it is "bacterial SSU rRNA". It matches the Rfam family "Bacterial small subunit ribosomal RNA", at positions 59 to 776 of the family's 1533-position model. The record is from RNAcentral.
CAGUCGACGAGAGGACAUGGGAAGCUUGCUUCCUAUGAAAUCGAGUGGCAAACGGGUGAGUAACGCGUAAACAACCUGCCCUUCGGAUGGGGAUAACAGCCGGAAACGGCUGCUAAUACCGAAUACGAUCUUUUCGUCGCAUGACGAAAAGAAGAAAGGAUGGCCUCUAUACAAAGCUAUCGCCGAAGGAGGGGUUUGCGUCUGAUUAGCUGGUUGGAGGGGUAACGGCCCAACAAGGCGAUGAUCAGUAGCCGGUCUGAGAGGAUGAACGGCCACAUUGGGACUGAGACACGGCCCAGACUCCUACGGGAGGCAGCAGUGGGGAAUCUUCCGCAAUGGACGAAAGUCUGACGGAGCAACGCCGCGUGAGUGAAGAAGGUCUUCGGAUUGUAAAGCUCUGUUAUACGGGACGAAAAAGACGGAUGCCAACAGUAUCCGUCCGUGACGGUACCGUAAGAGAAAGCCACGGCUAACUACGUGCCAGCAGCCGCGGUAAUACGUAGGUGGCAAGCGUUGUCCGGAAUUAUUGGGCGUAAAGGGCGCGCAGGCGGUUCGGUAAGUCUGUCUUAAAAGUGCGGGGCUUAACCCCGUGAGGGGACGGAAACUGUCGAACUUGAGUGUCGGAGAGGAAAGCGGAAUUCCUAGUGUAGCGGUGAAAUGCGUAGAUAUUAGGAGGAACACCGGUGGCGAAAGCGGCUUUCUGGACGACAACUGACGCUGAGGCGCGANNNCGUGGGGAGCAAACAGG